GCUUGCGGCCAUACCACCCUGAGCACGCCUGAUCUCAUCUGAUCUUGGAAGGUAAGCAGGGUCAGGCCUGGUUAGUACUUGGAUGGGAGACGGUCUGGGAGUACCAGAUGCUUUAGGCU
This 119-nucleotide ribosomal RNA is filed under the name Amphilophus citrinellus (Midas cichlid). The record is from RNAcentral. Lineage: Eukaryota; Metazoa; Chordata; Actinopteri; Cichliformes; Cichlidae.